Molecule: ribosomal RNA, 643 nt
Filed under: uncultured bacterium
Lineage: Bacteria
Description: bacterial SSU rRNA
Rfam family: Bacterial small subunit ribosomal RNA
Source: RNAcentral
CGCGGCCUAUCAGCUUGUUGGUGGGGUAGUGGCUUACCAAGGCUUUGACGGGUAGCCGGCCUGAGGGGGUGACCGGCCACAUUGGGACUGAGAUACGGCCCAGACUCCUACGGGAGGCAGCAGUGGGGAAUAUUGCACAAUGGGCGGAAGCCUGAUGCAGCAACGCCGCGUGCGGGAUGACGGCCUUCGGGUUGUAAACCGCUUUCGCCUGUGACGAAGCGUGAGUGACGGUAAUGGGUAAAGAAGCACCGGCUAACUACGUGCCAGCAGCCGCGGUGAUACGUAGGGUGCGAGCGUUGUCCGGAUUUAUUGGGCGUAAAGGGCUCGUAGGUGGUUGAUCGCGUCGGAAGUGUAAUCUUGGGGCUUAACCCUGAGCGUGCUUUCGAUACGGGUUGACUUGAGGAAGGUAGGGGAGAAUGGAAUUCCUGGUGGAGCGGUGGAAUGCGCAGAUAUCAGGAGGAACACCAGUGGCGAAGGCGGUUCUCUGGGCCUUUCCUGACGCUGAGGAGCGAAAGCGUGGGGAGCGAACAGGCUUAGAUACCCUGGUAGUCCACGCUGUAAACGGUGGGUACUAGGUGUGGGGUCCAUUCCACGGGUUCCGCGCCGUAGCUAACGCUUUAAGUACCCCGCCUGGGGAGUACGG